This 254-nucleotide ribosomal RNA is filed under the name uncultured bacterium. RNAcentral describes it as "partial 16S ribosomal RNA". It matches the Rfam family "Bacterial small subunit ribosomal RNA", at positions 524 to 776 of the family's 1533-position model. The record is from RNAcentral.
UACGUAGGGUGCAAGCGUUAAUCGGAAUUACUGGGCGUAAAGCGUGCGCAGGCGGUUUUGUAAGUCUGUCGUGAAAUCCCCCGGGCUCAACCUGGGAAUUGCGAUGGAGACUGCAAGGCUAGAAUCUGGCAGAGGGGGGUAGAAUUCCACGUGUAGCGGUGAAAUGCGUAGAGAUCGGGAGGAACACCAGUGGCGAAGGCGGCCUUCUGGACCAGCACUGACACUCAAGCACGAAAGCGUGGGGAGCAAACAGG